AUGAUAAGUACCGCCGGGCUUCACAAGGUAGUAAGAUGUUUUAUUCAGACCUUUAUCCUGAUUGGAGUUCCGCACGUGUAGGUAACACGACAGAAUUCCCCGACAGCUACAGUGUAGGCAUGUGUAGGCUUAAGGAGGAAUGUAGGCAGGUGCACCAGCAACUCACACACACACUCAUUAUCCAGCUGGGUCAACCAUCUACAACAGUUAUCUUCUGCAGGUGAGGGUGAGGGUUCAUGGUGCCCCCCAUGCCUGUGCCUAUUAUGACCAUGUCUAUGCCCGUGCCCAUGUCCGUGCCCAUGUCCAUGCCCGUGCUCAUGUUCGUGUUCCUGUUCCUGUCCUCCGUCAUCAUCGGGGGGAGAAGAGGGGGGAGGGGAGGGCGGUGUCGGAAGGGGAGUUGGAGUGAAGGGCAGCAAUGCACAUGCAUAGUUAGCAAGCGCAAAUUGUGAAGCACAAAGAGGGCGGGGAGGUGGGAAUAGACGCUGUGCCUCCAUCUUGGGCACAAAUAGUAGGGAAGCUACAAACAAGGUUAAAGUAAGAAUGUUGACUCUCUCCAUGCCAGCUAUCUUCUGCCUUCUGCUAGUACAUGUGAGAUGUGA
RNAcentral lists this long non-coding RNA (599 nucleotides) under Prunus persica (peach). Its description in RNAcentral is "long non-coding RNA (PPER_LNC008500)". The record is from RNAcentral. Lineage: Eukaryota; Viridiplantae; Streptophyta; Magnoliopsida; Rosales; Rosaceae.